UGCUCGCUUCGGCAGCAAUAUACUAAAAUUGAAAUGAUAUAGAGAAGAUUAGCAUGGGCCCUGCUCAAGGAUAACACACAAAUUCGUGAAACGUCCCGUAUUAUU
Molecule: small nuclear RNA, 105 nt
Organism: Bison bison bison
Lineage: Eukaryota; Metazoa; Chordata; Mammalia; Artiodactyla; Bovidae
Source: Ensembl